AAUAAACUAGAUGCCCACUGUGGGUUUAAAUAAAAAAGAAGAAAAAGAAGGCCACAAAAACGAGGUAAGAAGCUACAGUUUUGACCAGAGGUGCUCAUAGUGUAGAUUGUGAUCAAACGGUCGAUGGCAAAGGAUGCUUUGCCAGAACAGCAAAAAUAAGAGCGUUUGAGGCCCGGGUGCCUCCUUGAUUGGAUGCGAGACUGAGACAACUGAACCAACCAUCCUGCAACAGCGCCUGCCGCCUGGUCAGCGGUUCCUGAGGGGUCCAAGCCGCCUCAGGCAGCAGUGUUGUCCAGAAGCCUGCGCAUUUUGAGCCCUGCCCAUGGAGCAGGGGGCUGCGUAGGGUGCGCUUUGUCGCCGCGCCACUCCCCCACCAGAACAGCCACCCAUUAGAAAGCCUGAGCAGGCGGCAGGGACUUCACAUCACCCGCCUUUCUGUAUGCUCUAGCUCCUGUGAAUACUUGGUUGAUCAUGCUAAUUCUUGUCUCAAAGAUUAUCCAAAAAAAAAAAAAAACUAUCACCAAAUGUGGAGUUUUUCAUCCUUGCUGAAGAUGAGGGAAUGGACCAAGACUCCUAACCGACUUUCCCAAGGAGUGCCCAGCCCGUUCCUGUUCCAGUGGUGGUCCUGGAUGCUCCCCAGCACGUACGUGCCGGACGCACCCCAACCCGCUCCUGCUUCCAGGGGGGUGCCGGAGCUCGACGACUGGCCCGACCCGCCGGAGCUCGCCUUCACCGCCUACUAUUAACCUUUGCAAAGUUUUAUGACAGCAGUGUGAAGAAGCUGUUUUUGGAUCUGUAGCAGUGCAAACAUUUUUUCAACAUCAAUUCUUUGUGUUUAAUUUUGUGUGAACAUUGUUAUGCAGAGUAAAACAUUUUAAAAAUGUGUUUAUGGUUUGCAAUGAUAAACUGUUUAAUUACAUUUUACAUGUGUUUUUACAUCACUAUUGAAUUUUAGAUUUGCACGAUUAUCAAAUAAAGGGGAGUUUAACCAGUGAA
Oryzias latipes (Japanese medaka) is the source of this 996-nucleotide non-coding RNA. Lineage: Eukaryota; Metazoa; Chordata; Actinopteri; Beloniformes; Adrianichthyidae. The record is from RefSeq and is a predicted model, not a curated record.